RNAcentral lists this long non-coding RNA (1154 nucleotides) under Marmota monax (woodchuck). Lineage: Eukaryota; Metazoa; Chordata; Mammalia; Rodentia; Sciuridae. The record is from RNAcentral.
AUUCCAUUCCCCGCCUCGCGCGCCGCGAUCCACGUGGAUGUCACUUCUGGAGUCGCGGUCAGCAUCUGAGAGGAUAACUGAGGGCACGGGUUAGAGGCUGCGAGGUCCGGCGGAGAUGGCUUGUCCGGUCAUUCAGUUAUCUUCUAACGCGCCCAUCCCCCUCCCUGGCCACGGGCCCUGCCGCCUCUGCAGCAGCGUCGUUCUUCCCGCAGUGUGGUUCUUCCACUUGCUGCCGCACAUCUGUCCCCGCGCCGACAGCUGAGCUGGUGGCGGCUGUGGCUUUCCCUGCAAAGCCCAACUGCAGAAGUCCCGAGCAGGCCACUCGGACACUGCCCAAACUGACUAAAGAAGACUGAUCGUCUCAGAGACCGCCAUCUCUGGCCAGCAAUCCGACCAGCAGUCGCCCUGCGUCCGCGGAGCGUGGGCCCUGGGAAGAAGAGACAAAGGCAAAGGACUAACUUUCCCUCCAAAGGAAGUUUAAAUGAGAGCUGACCGGAGGAUGACCGAAAUGAAUCUGCCAGGUGAUUGGAAGACGAAUAAGUGACUGUCAGGUUCUUGUUGAACCCCUAUGUGUGUUACCACAUUUAGGCCAUCUCUGAGGCAGUUAGUGAGAGCCUUCACCCAUUUUACAGAUGCGAAUUGACACAGAGCCUAAGGAAGUGGCAUGGGAUCACAUAGUGGAUCCUGGUUUAUCCAACAUGAAACCCGAAGUUUUUGGUCAUCACUCUGUACCAUAACACCAAGAUUGCUAGAGUUUUAAGAGGGCUGAUCUGUUCCCUGGUGCACCAGAAGGGAGAGUUGGGGGAGGCGUGUCAGGGAAAACAGAAUUUUGUCCUGGGCAGCAUCUCAACCACAUGAAGCCAGAUUGCUUAGUAAACAGUGUUAUUCCUUUGAUCUCUAAGUCGUUGCCUCAUAAAAGUCGUUGCCACAUCUGCCUCCAUCCACGUGGACACCACAACACUUCUAAUCCUACAGAAGCCAGAUAUUCUAUACAUAUUCUAUGCAGCUGCCCCUAAGGCACCAGAGGAGCACUCCUCUCUAACCCUUAAAAAUCUUCAGGCCAAGAAUUCUCUUUGACUCUGGGUGAUUCUAGGACAAAGUCAGAGUUCUGACCCUACUAGGGCAAGUACAGAACUUUGGAACCAGUCUGAUCU